This 140-nucleotide ribosomal RNA is filed under the name uncultured eukaryote. RNAcentral's name for it is "partial 18S ribosomal RNA". It matches the Rfam family "Eukaryotic small subunit ribosomal RNA", at positions 1299 to 1458 of the family's 1831-position model. The record is from RNAcentral.
UGGUGGAGUGAUUUGUCUGGUUAAUUCCGUUAACGAACGAGACCUCGACCUGCUAACUAGUAAAGUCGACCUUCUGGUCGACUUCUGACUUCUUAGAGGGACUAUCGGUGUGUAGCCGAUGGAAGUUCGAGGCAAUAACA